GGGGUAUUAGCUCAGGUGGUAGAGCGCUCGCUUAGCAUGCGAGAGGUACCGGGAUCGAUGCCCGGAUUCUCCA
RNAcentral lists this transfer RNA (73 nucleotides) under Octopus bimaculoides (California two-spot octopus). RNAcentral's name for it is "transfer RNA alanine (anticodon AGC)". It matches the Rfam family "tRNA". From Rfam's summary of the family: Transfer RNA (tRNA) molecules are approximately 80 nucleotides in length. Their secondary structure includes four short double-helical elements and three loops (D, anti-codon, and T loops). The record is from RNAcentral. Lineage: Eukaryota; Metazoa; Mollusca; Cephalopoda; Octopoda; Octopodidae.